Molecule: ribosomal RNA, 3326 nt
Filed under: bioreactor metagenome
Description: bacterial LSU rRNA
Rfam family: Bacterial large subunit ribosomal RNA
Source: RNAcentral
UCAAGCGACUAAGUGCAUGUGGUGGAUGCCUUGGCGAUCACAGGCGAUGAAGGACGUUGCAGCGUGCGAAAAGCCACGGGGAGCUCGCAAACAAGCUUUGAUCCGUGGAUGUCCGAAUGGGGAAACCCGGCCCGCAAGGGUCACUCCUGGCUGAAUACAUAGGUCAGGUAGAGCGAACCCGGUGAACUGAAACAUCUAAGUAGCCGGAGGAACAGAAAUCAACCGAGAUUCCGAAAGUAGUGGCGAGCGAAAUCGGAUUAGCCAGCACAAUUUAGCCAUUACGCUAGCAGAGCGGUCUGGAAAGGCCGGCCAUAGUGGGUGAUAGCCCCGUAUGCGAAAGCCUGAUGGUGGAACUGGGUGUGCGAGAAGUAGGGCGGGACACGUGAAAUCCUGUCUGAAGAUGGGGGGACCAUCCUCCAAGGCUAAAUACUCGUGAUCGACCGAUAGUGAACCAGUACCGUGAGGGAAAGGCGAAAAGAACCCCGGAAGGGGAGUGAAACAGAUCCUGAAACCGCAUGCAUACAAACAGUGGGAGUCCCGCAAGGGAUGACUGCGUACCUUUUGUAUAAUGGGUCAGCGACUUACGUUCUGUUGCGAGCUUAACCGCAUAGGGAAGGCGCAGCGAAAGCGAGUCCGAACAGGGCGCUUGAGUAGCAGGGCGUAGACCCGAAACCGGAUGAUCUAGCCAUGGCCAGGCUGAAGCGGGGGUAACACCUCGUGGAGGGCCGAACCCACUACCGUUGAAAAGGUAGGGGAUGAGCUGUGGCUAGGGGCGAAAGGCUAAACAAAUCCGGAGAUAGCUGGUUCUCUCCGAAAGCUAUUGAGGUAGCGCCUCGUGUAUCACCUUCGGGGGUAGAGCACUGUCAUGGUAGUGGGGAGCAUCGCGCUCUACCACGCCAUUGCAAACUCCGAAUACCGAAGAGUGCGAGCACGGGAGACAGACGGUGGGUGCUAACGUUCAUCGUCGAGAGGGAAACAACCCAGACCCUCAGCUAAGGUCCCCAAGACACAGUUAAGUGGGAAACGAGGUGGGAAGGCAUAGACAGCCAGGAUGUUGGCUUAGAAGCAGCCAUCAUUUAAAGAAAGCGUAAUAGCUCACUGGUCGAGUCGUCCUGCGCGGAAGAUGUAACGGGGCUCAAACUGUGCACCGAAGCUAGGGAUUCAGGAGUCAGUUGUCAGUUGACGGUUGACAGUAACGGCCGAUGGCCUUGAUUCGUUUCGAGGAGUUGGAGGUCUUCAAGCGCGCAUAUCGGGUGUCGUUGGACAUCCACCGUGCGAGCCUGGGGUUUCCGUCCUCGGAGCAGUACGCGCUGGCCGAUCAGGUCAGGCGCUGCAGCAAGGGCAUCUGCGCCAACAUCGCCGAAGGGUUCGGCAAAUCCAGUCGUUCGAGGGCGGAACUGCAGAGGUUCCUGUCGAUGGCGAUCGGGUCUGCCGACGAGAUGCGGGUGUGGCUGCGUUACUGCCUGGACUUGGGGUACGUCUCCGAGUCGAGUUGGCAAGCAUGGCGCGACGAGUACGAGGAGAUCGCGAAGAUGCUUCAAGGGUUGAGUAAGAGCGCGGCGCGCCGUUGAGCGCGCUCUUACUGCCAACUGCCAACUGUCAACUGGCUCCUGGAUGGUAGGAGAGCGUUCCGUAGGCCUGUGAAGGCGGCUGGAGACGGCUGCUGGAGGUAUCGGAAGUGCGAAUGCUGACAUGAGUAGCGAUAAAGCAGGUGAAAGGCCUGCUCGCCGUAAGCCCAAGGUUUCCUGCGCCACGUUCAUCGGCGCAGGGUGAGUCGGCCCCUAAGGCGAGGACGAGAGUCGUAGCUGAUGGGAAGCGGGUCAAUAUUCCCGCACCGACGUGGAAUGCGAUGGGGGGACGGAGAAGGUUAACCAGGCCGGGUGUUGGACGUCCCGGUUCAAGCGUGUAGGCGUGCCCGAUUGGCAAAUCCGUCGGGCUUAGCCGAGGCGUGACGUCGAGGGCCGGCUUGCCGGUCCGAAGCGGGUGAUACCAGGCUCCCGGGAAAAGCCUCUAAGCUUCAGUUCCACGACGACCGUACCGCAAACCGACACAGGUGGGCGAGCUGAAUAUGCUCAGGCGCUUGAGAGAACUCAGGAGAAGGAACUCGGCAAAUUGACACCGUAACUUCGGAAGAAGGUGUGCCCCUAGUAGGUGAACGUGUACAACGGGAGCCCAAUGGGGUCGCAGAGAAUCGGUGGCUGCGACUGUUUAAUAAAAACACAGCACUCUGCAAAGGCGAAAGCCGACGUAUAGGGUGUGACGCCUGCCCGGUGCCGGAAGGUUAAGUGAUGGGGUGCAAGCUCUUGAUCGAAGCCCCGGUAAACGGCGGCCGUAACUAUAACGGUCCUAAGGUAGCGAAAUUCCUUGUCGGGUAAGUUCCGACCUGCACGAAUGGCGUAACGAUGGCCACACUGUCUCCUCCUGAGACUCAGCGAAGUUGAAGUGUUUGUGAAGAUGCAAUCUCCCCGCGGCAAGACGGAAAGACCCCGUGCACCUUUACUGUAGCUUUGCAUUGGACUGUGAUGAGGUUUGUGUAGGAUAGCUGGGAGGCUUUGAAGUGGGGGCGCCAGCUCUCAUGGAGCCAACGUUGAAAUACCAGCCUGACGUCAUUGCGGUUCUAACCUUGGUCCGUGAUCCGGAUCGGGGACCGUGCAUGGCAGGCAGUUUGACUGGGGCGGUCUCCUCCCAAAGAGUAACGGAGGAGCUCGAAGGUUCGCUUAGCGCGGUCGGACAUCGCGCUUCAAUGUGUAAGGGCACAAGCGAGCUUGACUGCGAGACUGACAAGUCGAGCAGGUGCGAAAGCAGGACCUAGUGAUCCGGUGGUUCUGAAUGGAAGGGCCAUCGCUCAACGGACAAAAGGUACGCCGGGGAUAACAGGCUGAUACCGCCCAAGAGUUCAUAUCGACGGCGGUGUUUGGCACCUCGAUGUCGGCUCAUCACAUCCUGGGGCUGUAGCCGGUCCCAAGGGUAUGGCUGUUCGCCAUUUAAAGUGGUACGUGAGCUGGGUUUAAAACGUCGUGAGACAGUUUGGUCCCUAUCUGCAGUGGGCGUUGGAGAUUUGACGGGGGCUGCUCCUAGUACGAGAGGACCGGAGUGGACGCACCGCUGGUGUACCGGUUGUGACGCCAGUCGCAUCGCCGGGUAGCUAUGUGCGGAAGUGAUAACCGCUGAAAGCAUCUAAGCGGGAAACACGCCUGAAGAUGAGAUCUCCCGGGGGCUAGACCCCCCUGAAGGGUCGUGGCAGACCACCACGUUGAUAGGCCGGAGGUGGAAGCGCGGCAACGCGUUGAGCUGACCGGUACUAAUCGCCCGUGCGGCUUGAUCCC